GCAACAAGGCAAAGCAAGAGGCCACCCGCACCGAGGCAGAUGAAGGGAUUAAAACAUAAUCUGAAGAUGAAGCGGAGGUUGAUGGCACCAACAUACCCCUUCCUGAUGAUGCCACUGAUGACCUAGUUGAUGAGUACCUUCCUGGCAAGAAUCGACACACCAGCUACGAAAAAAUAUUGACUAAAGAUCAAUUGGAGGAAGAACAGCGGUCAGAUUGGAAGAGCGUCGUGCAG
This is a long non-coding RNA of Amblyraja radiata (thorny skate), 233 nucleotides long. RefSeq lists it as uncharacterized. The transcript has 4 exons. NCBI's taxonomy places the organism in Eukaryota, Metazoa, Chordata, Chondrichthyes, Rajiformes, Rajidae. The record is from RefSeq and is a predicted model, not a curated record.